RNAcentral lists this ribosomal RNA (160 nucleotides) under Klebsiella pneumoniae. RNAcentral's name for it is "partial 16S ribosomal RNA". It matches the Rfam family "Bacterial small subunit ribosomal RNA", at positions 1 to 152 of the family's 1533-position model. Lineage: Bacteria; Pseudomonadati; Pseudomonadota; Gammaproteobacteria; Enterobacterales; Enterobacteriaceae. The record is from RNAcentral.
ACUUAAAUUGAAGAGUUUGAUCAUGGCUCAGAUUGAACGCUGGCGGCAGGCCUAACACAUGCAAGUCGAGCGGUAGCACAGAGAGCUUGCUCUCGGGUGACGAGCGGCGGACGGGUGAGUAAUGUCUGGGAAACUGCCUGAUGGAGGGGGAUAACUACUG